This 306-nucleotide ribosomal RNA is filed under the name Triticum aestivum (bread wheat). RNAcentral's name for it is "partial small subunit ribosomal RNA". Lineage: Eukaryota; Viridiplantae; Streptophyta; Magnoliopsida; Poales; Poaceae. The record is from RNAcentral.
AUGUGCUUAUCUCUAGCCUCUAGUAGAAAUAGGAAACAUGGUGUAGCGUACACUGUAUUUCAUCGUCACUCUCUCAUUUUCAGUCGCGCUUCCUGUCCCUGCUACCUACGUCUCUGUCUUCGUCCAUCCUUGCGGCCGGCGACCUCGAGCGGUCCCUUGACGACCUGCUCGACCCGCCAGGCAAACAGCUCCGCGGUGCCACAAAGAGCCAGUUCCUCCCGUCAUAGUGGUGGACUACAUGCUUUGCCCCUGCCGUUGCAAGCAACAUCAAUUUGGAGAAGAUUCAAGCACGAAGUUUGUGCUUAG